UCUGGUGGAAUGAGCGGCGGACGGGUGAGUAACACGUGGGCAACCUGCCUGUAAGACUGGGAUAACUUCGGGAAACCGGAGCUAAUACCGGAUAGUAUUUCCUUUCUCCUGAUUGGAAAUGGAAAGACGGUUUCGGCUGUCACUUACAGAUGGGCCCGCGGUGCAUUAGCUAGUUGGUGGGGUAAUGGCCCACCAAGGCGACGAUGCAUAGCCGACCUGAGAGGGUGAUCGGCCACACUGGGACUGAGACACGGCCCAGACUCCUACGGGAGGCAGCAGUAGGGAAUCUUCCGCAAUGGACGAAAGUCUGACGGAGCAACGCCGCGUGAGCGAUGAAGGCCUUCGGGUCGUAAAGCUCUGUUGUUAGGGAAGAACAAGUACGAGAGUAACUGCUCGUACCUUGACGGUACCUAACCAGAAAG
RNAcentral lists this ribosomal RNA (422 nucleotides) under bacterium N0056. RNAcentral's name for it is "bacterial SSU rRNA". It matches the Rfam family "Bacterial small subunit ribosomal RNA", at positions 82 to 490 of the family's 1533-position model. The record is from RNAcentral.